Molecule: ribosomal RNA, 460 nt
Filed under: uncultured bacterium
Lineage: Bacteria
Description: partial 16S ribosomal RNA
Rfam family: Bacterial small subunit ribosomal RNA
Source: RNAcentral
CCUACGGGAGGCAGCAGUGAGGAAUAUUGGUCAAUGGACGAGAGUCUGAACCAGCCAAGUAGCGUGAAGGAUGACUGCCCUAUGGGUUGUAAACUUCUUUUAUAUGGGAAUAAAAUGUUCCACGUGUGGGAUUUUGUAUGUACCAUAUGAAUAAGGAUCGGCUAACUCCGUGCCAGCAGCCGCGGUAAUACGGAGGAUCCGAGCGUUAUCCGGAUUUAUUGGGUUUAAAGGGAUCGUAGGUGGAUUGUUAAGUCAGUUGUGAAAGUUUGCGGCUCAACCGUAAAAUUGCAGUUGAAACUGGCAGUCUUGAGUACAGUAGAGGUGGGCGGAAUUCGUGGUGUAGCGGUGAAAUGCUUAGAUAUCACGAAGAACUCCGAUUGCGAAGGCAGUUCACUGGACUGCAACUGACACUGAGGCUCGAAAGUGUGGGUAUCAAACAGGAUUAGAUACCCGAGUAGUC